Molecule: ribosomal RNA, 468 nt
Filed under: uncultured bacterium
Lineage: Bacteria
Description: partial 16S ribosomal RNA
Rfam family: Bacterial small subunit ribosomal RNA
Source: RNAcentral
GACGAACGCUGGCGGCGUGCUUAACACAUGCAAGUCGAACGGAAAGGCCCUGCUUUUGUGGGGUGCUCGAGUGGCGAACGGGUGAGUAACACGUGAGUAACCUGCCCUUGACUUUGGGAUAACUUCAGGAAACUGGGGCUAAUACCGGAUAGGAUCUCCUGCUGCAUUGUGGGGGUUGGAAAUUUUCGGCGGUUGGGGAUGGACUCGCGGCUUCUCAGCUUGUUGGUGGGGUAGUGGCUUACCAAGGCUUUGACGGGUAGCCGGCAUGAGAGGGUGACCGGCCAAAGUGGGACUGAGAGACGGCCCAGACGCCAACGGGAGGCAGCAGUGGGGAAUAUUGCACAAUGGGCGGAAGCCUGAGGCAGCAACGCCGCGUGCGGGAUGACGGCCUUCGGGUUGUAAACCGCUUUCGCCUGUGACGAAGCGGGAGUGACGGUAAUGGGUAAAGAAGCACCGGCUAACUACGUG